AUUGAACGCUGGCGGCAUGCUUUACACAUGCAAGUCGAACGGUAACAGGUUAAGCUGACGAGUGGCGAACGGGUGAGUAAUGCAUCGGAACGUGCCCGGUCGUGGGGGAUAACGCAGCGAAAGUUGCGCUAAUACCGCAUACGAUCUGAGGAUGAAAGCGGGGGACCGGAAGGCCUCGCGCGAUCGGAGCGGCCGAUGUCAGAUUAGGUAGUUGGUGGGGUAAAGGCUCACCAAGCCAACGAUCUGUAGCUGGUCUGAGAGGACGACCAGCCACACUGGGACCGAGACACGGCCCAGACUCCUACGGGAGGCAGCAGUGGGGAAUUUUGGACAAUGGGCGAAAGCCUGAUCCAGCAAUGCCGCGUGCAGGAAGAAGGCCUUCGGGUUGUAAACUGCUUUUGUACGGAGCGAAAAGGUCUCCUCUAAUACAGGGGGCUCAUGACGGUACCGUAAGAAUAAGCACCGGCUAACUACGUGCCAGCCGCCGCGGUAA
This 493-nucleotide ribosomal RNA is filed under the name uncultured bacterium. Its description in RNAcentral is "partial 16S ribosomal RNA". It matches the Rfam family "Bacterial small subunit ribosomal RNA", at positions 29 to 523 of the family's 1533-position model. The record is from RNAcentral.